GGGGGGGCCCUGCUGCGCGGCGGAGCCCUAGAGGUACCGCGCGGGAAAGCGAACUCGUCCAGUGUGCAGAGCGUUCUCAGCCCGGCCGUCUGCCUGUCGCGCGUCUUCAGGCCUUCGGCUCCUUGAUCUACUGUCUUUCGGCUGAUGAAAUGCAAAGAAAGUAGUACAACUUAUGCCACCCUUUUUUGUGUGCUGCUCCCAACCCCCCCAAGAAAAAUGCUUCCAAAAAGUAGUUGAAUACAACGUGAAGCUAUCCAGCAGGAGAAAAAGUGUGUUCAGACAUCAUAAAAUGGGCAUCUCCCAAGGUCAAAUUUCAACAUUGCUUGAGUGUCUUGGUUUUAAGCUUAUUUUUUUGUGAACUUUUCUGUUGUCUUCUCACCUAUACUCCCUGGCUAAGAGGUCAGGGGUAGCUAGUGUUCCC
RNAcentral lists this long non-coding RNA (421 nucleotides) under Equus caballus (horse). RNAcentral's name for it is "lncRNA (ENSECAG00000053108.1)". Lineage: Eukaryota; Metazoa; Chordata; Mammalia; Perissodactyla; Equidae. The record is from RNAcentral.